AAGAGGCGAAGCCGCGAGGCAGAGCAAAUCUCAAAAAGCCGUCCCAGUUCGGAUUGCAGGCUGCAACCCGCCUGCAUGAAGUUGGAAUCGCUAGUAAUCGCGGAUCAGCAUGCCGCGGUGAAUACGUUCCCGGGCCUUGUACACACCGCCCGUCACACCAUGAGAGUCGGGAACACCCGAAGUCCGUAGUCUGACCGCAAGGGGACGCGGCCGAAGGUGGGUUCGAUAAUUGGGGUGAAGUCGUAACAAGGUAUC
RNAcentral lists this ribosomal RNA (255 nucleotides) under uncultured bacterium. RNAcentral's name for it is "partial 16S ribosomal RNA". It matches the Rfam family "Bacterial small subunit ribosomal RNA", at positions 1244 to 1500 of the family's 1533-position model. The record is from RNAcentral.